CUACGGGCGGCUGCAGUGGGGAAUAUUGGACAAUGGGCGAAAGCCUGAUCCAGCCAUGCCGCGUGUGUGAAGAAGGCCUUCGGGUUGUAAAGCACUUUCAGUGGGGAAGAAAGCCUUGGGGCUAAUACCCUCGAGGAAGGACAUCACCCACAGAAGAAGCACCGGCUAACUCCGUGCCAGCAGCCGCGGUAAUACGGAGGGUGCGAGCGUUAAUCGGAAUUACUGGGCGUAAAGCGCGCGUAGGCGGUCUGAUAAGCCGGUUGUGAAAGCCCCGGGCUCAACCUGGGAACGGCAUCCGGAACUGUCAGGCUAGAGUGCAGGAGAGGAAGGUAGAAUUCCCGGUGUAGCGGUGAAAUGCGUAGAGAUCGGGAGGAAUACCAGUGGCGAAGGCGGCCUUCUGGACUGACACUGACGCUGAGGUGCGAAAGCGUGGGUGGCAAACAGGAUUAGAUACCCCAGUAGUC
This 464-nucleotide ribosomal RNA is filed under the name Vreelandella stevensii. RNAcentral's name for it is "partial 16S ribosomal RNA". It matches the Rfam family "Bacterial small subunit ribosomal RNA", at positions 339 to 795 of the family's 1533-position model. The record is from RNAcentral. Lineage: Bacteria; Pseudomonadati; Pseudomonadota; Gammaproteobacteria; Oceanospirillales; Halomonadaceae.